This is a non-coding RNA of Oryctolagus cuniculus (rabbit), 454 nucleotides long. The record is from RefSeq and is a predicted model, not a curated record. NCBI's taxonomy places the organism in Eukaryota, Metazoa, Chordata, Mammalia, Lagomorpha, Leporidae.
GACAGGGAAGGAAUCGAGACAAGCAGGGGUGGAUGUGGUUCCAGCUGGAGAUUGGCUUCAUCCUGGAAUGCAGACUGAACCAAACGAAGAACCCAGCUGUUCUCUGGCUGGAGAAAAGAGCAUAAUGAUGAGAGACUAACCAAUGUUAAGAAAGCAAGAUCUCAAUAUCCUCCAUCUACCCACAUCUGUAAAUAUUGCAGAAGUGAUCUGUAUUCAUGGCAAUGCUCCCUAUGCUUCUGCCUUCUGAACUUUGAAUGAUGUUUCCUAAAAUAUAUUGAAUCAAUCUUAAAGGAUUAUAUGACGGCAAAGAUCCUUCAAAAUGUAGCUGAUUUAUCCUGUUGGUUUCAGCUGGAAACGCAUAAAAGAGAUACCAGAGAGGUGAGUCUUAUUAUUCAAUACCUACACAGAAGCAGACUCCACACAUUCUUUUCUGAAUAAGUCAAUUUUUGAAUUU